UCUGGUUGAUCCUGCCAGUAGUCAUACGCUCGUCUCAAAGAUUAAGCCAUGCAUGUGUAAGUAUAAAUAUUUAACUUUGAAACUGCGAAUGGCUCAUUAUAUCAGUUAUAGUUUAUUUGAUGAAAAGUACUACUUGGAUAACCGUAGUAAUUCUAGAGCUAAUACAUGAUAAAAUCCUCGACUUUGAAGAGGUGUAUUUAUUAGAAUGAAACCAAUAGACUUCGGUCUGUUUGUGAGUAAUAAUAACUAAUCGUAUCGCAUGCUUAGGUAGCGAUAUGUCUUUCAAGUUUCUGCCCUAUCAGCUUUGGAUGGUAGUGUAUUGGACUACCAUGGCAGUAACGGGUAACGAAGAAUUUGGGUUCGAUUUCGGAGAGGGAGCCUGAGAGAUGGCUACCACAUCCAAGGAAGGCAGCAGGCGCGUAAAUUACCCAAUCCUGACAUAGGGAGGUAGUGACAAUAAAUCACAAUGCGGAACUAUUAGUUUUGCAAUUGGAUUGAGAACAAUGUACAAAUGUUAUCGAUAAACAAUUGGAGGGCAAGUCUGGUGCCAGCAGCCGCGGUA
RNAcentral lists this ribosomal RNA (562 nucleotides) under Blastocystis sp. DMP/02-328. RNAcentral's name for it is "SSU rRNA". It matches the Rfam family "Eukaryotic small subunit ribosomal RNA", at positions 1 to 581 of the family's 1831-position model. Lineage: Eukaryota; Bigyra; Opalinata; Blastocystidae. The record is from RNAcentral.